Molecule: ribosomal RNA, 433 nt
Filed under: uncultured bacterium
Lineage: Bacteria
Description: partial 16S ribosomal RNA
Rfam family: Bacterial small subunit ribosomal RNA
Source: RNAcentral
AACGAACGCUGGCGGCAUGCCUAACACAUGCAAGUCGAACGAGACCUUCGGGUCUAGUGGCGCACGGGUGCGUAACGCGUGGGAACCUUCCCUUAGGUUCGGAAUAACUCCCCGAAAGGGGUGCUAAUACCGGAUAAUGUCUUCGGACCAAAGAUUUAUCGCCCUUGGAUGGGCCCGCGUUGGAUUAGCUAGUUGGUAUGGUAAAAGCCUACCAAGGCGACGAUACAUAGCUGGUCUGAGAGGAUGAUCAGCCACACUGGGACUGAGACACGGCCCAGACUCCUACGGGAGGCAGCAGUGGGGAAUAUUGGACAAUGGGCGAAAGCCUGAUCCAGCAAUGCCGCGUGAGUGAUGAAGGCCUUAGGGUUGUAAAGCUCUUUUACCCGGGAUGAUAAUGACAGUACCGGGAGAAUAAGCUCCGGCUAACUCCGUG